Molecule: small nucleolar RNA, 82 nt
Organism: Neofelis nebulosa (Clouded leopard)
Lineage: Eukaryota; Metazoa; Chordata; Mammalia; Carnivora; Felidae
Product: small nucleolar RNA SNORD115
Exons: 1
Source: RefSeq, a predicted model, not a curated record
GGACUGCCUUGGUUAGGUCAAUAUGGUCUCAAAGAGAGAUGAUGACAUAAAAAUCUUGCUCAAUAGGAUUAUGCUGAGGAUC